This 254-nucleotide ribosomal RNA is filed under the name uncultured bacterium. RNAcentral's name for it is "partial 16S ribosomal RNA". It matches the Rfam family "Bacterial small subunit ribosomal RNA", at positions 524 to 777 of the family's 1533-position model. The record is from RNAcentral.
UACGUAGGGGGCAAGCGUUGUCCGGAAUCAUUGGGCGUAAAGAGCGUGUAGGCGGCUCGAUAAGUCUGCUGUGAAAGUCCAGGGCUCAACCCUGGAAGGCCGGUGGAAACUGUCGGGCUAGAGUCCGGAAGAGGCGAGUGGAACUCCCGGUGUAGCGGUGAAAUGCGCAGAUAUCGGGAGGAACACCAAUGGCGAAGGCAGCUCGCUGGGACGGUACUGACGCUGAGACGCGAAAGCGUGGGGAGCAAACAGGG